ACGCACGUGUGAAACUUGAAGGAAUUGACGGAAGGGCACCACAAGAACGCGUGGAGCAUGUGGCUUAAUUUGACUCAACACGAGAAAUCUUACCGGGUCCGGACACACUGAGGAUUGACAGGUAUUAUCAAUAUAAUAAUUUAUUAUUAUAUUGUGUUAAAUAUGCUAGUCCUUUCAUGAUUAUGUGAUAGGUGGUGCAUGGCCGUUCUUAGUUCGUGGAGUGAUCUGUCUGCUUAAUUGCGUUUCACUAAGGGUUUAUUCAAAAAGUAUAUUUACAUUGACCCCUUACUUUUCGAAGUUAGCGUGUUGUCUUUGUUAUAUACAUUUAAACCCUGAAAGCAACGAACGUGACCG
RNAcentral lists this ribosomal RNA (354 nucleotides) under Foraminifera environmental sample. Its description in RNAcentral is "SSU rRNA". It matches the Rfam family "Eukaryotic small subunit ribosomal RNA", at positions 1129 to 1435 of the family's 1831-position model. The record is from RNAcentral. Lineage: Eukaryota; Foraminifera.